CAGUUUUGUUUUCCGUAUACAUAUAUACUUGCCGUUUUCCCAGGAAUUGAAAAUGCAUGAAACUAUGCUUUUAAUGAAAAUGUAUAAAAGUAUAUGAGAUAUAUUAGUUGAAAUGCCAUGCAUAGAAGUAUGCGAAAAGUAUAUAGAAUUAUAUGAAAAAUGUGAAUCGAAUUGCCAUGCAUGAAAUGAUAUGAAAAGUAUGAAUUGAGAUAUGAUGCAUAUGUAUGAAUUGGUGCGGCGGACGCACAGGUGAGUAUUUAAUUACUGAUAUGAUGAUGUUGAUGUAUAUUGAGCUCAAAUCCUGCACCUUGGUUUAGUGCUUAUAGUAUUCACCGCAUCGCACGCUCGCCUUGGAUCCAAGUAGAUGCUGGUCGCACAGUCCACGCGGAGUGGGUGCGACGGGCCAGUCGAAGAGUGUUAGUGAGAUUUCGACUGGUGGGUGACCUUAGAUUAUGUGCACAGAUGAUUAAUGAGAGAAGCACUAGAGCGUAACCUAUGUGCAGAAGGCCGUACAAGUCACAGAGGUGACUCCGGCAGAGUGAUAGUGAUAGAUUUUGAGCUCUAAAUUCAACCGUACAGGGCUAUUAGAGGGCCUCCGGUUGAUUACUUUCUUGCACCUGAUAUGAUUAUUGUUGAUGCAUCCAUACUUAACUGUUGAUUUUAGACAUGGCAUGGCAUAACUGAUAUGAAAAAUGUUGAAAAAGUGAAUUGAAGUUUUGAGAAUAUAUAUGUAUAUUUAUAUUUUACAUUUCUGGGAAAGUAUACAGGUUUUACGGAGAGGGGUUACAACGUUUUGAGAAAUGUUUGGAUUUGGAAAAGAAUUGUUUUACUGACACACUCAGUUUUGGUUUUGCGCCCCUCCAGGUUCAGGAAUCACAAAGGUGUAGUGACUACGAGGAAUUCGACGGUGUUCUGACAGAUUGGACAAAAUUAGGACUCACCUUCGGGUGUAUCAACUUAUAAAUUGUAUCUUUAAAGCUUCCGUACUGUGCAAAUGGUUACGUCACUCUCACGUGACGGCCAGCAUGCCCUCAUUCGGGACGGGGUGUGUCAGUUGGUAUCAGAGCAUGGUUGCAAUCUUGGACAUCUUGAGAAGUUUUAGUGAAUUCUGUCAGAACUACACCGCCUCGUAGCAAGCCACGUAGUUAGAGGAACUUAGUCUCCCUGAUUUAGCGGUUUAGGGGGAAACUAUUACUAUGGUGAUUCAGUCUAUUAUAAAAAAGGACAUUUUAAGACGGGUUAUGAGUUGAAUUUGAAUCACCUUAUGAAAUGAUGAACCUGAGGGAACGAAGUGACGGUUUAACCGUUUGGAAAGGAAGUUUCGGAUUAUGCAAGUCAAAGGAAUCUUCCUUCUGACAGGGGGUCGAGACGACUACCUGGUUUUGGGUAUGAAUUUGUAUCCUGGUGGAAACAGGAUUGUUAAUUGUUGUCACCAGAGGAAUCAGCCGAUUUAAAAUUGUUUAAGGACUUGUUUAAGGAAAAGUUUAUCCAUCCGGCAUUUAUCGAUGGUAGUAAACAAGAGUUUACAAAUAUGAGACAAGGAAGGUGAUGAUCGAGGGAUAUUAUAGAAAGUUUUCAGACUUGCCUCGUUCCAUCCAGAGAUUGUUGUUAAUUUGGUGGAGGUGUUAUGUUGUUUUAAGCUGGGUGGCAAAAAGGGAAGUGGUAUUUUGGGUGACCACUAUCCAUUGUACUUCUUACCAGGAAUAUACGAGAUGCUGUUGAGUCUUGAGGACUCUGAGAACAUGAGCAACGAGAAUAAAGAAGAAUAAGAAAUGAAUGGGAAUCAAAAGAAGACGAUAAAGUUAAUGAUUCGUCAUAUCAAGGAUAUAGAAAGAUUCAGAGCUUCGAAAGAAGUGAAGCUAGAGUUAAUUCUUCCAGUUGAGGUUUUAACGCCACUGGUCAGAGGCGAAGUGAUGGAUAUACUGGUAAUCCCAGAUUUUAGAGACAAGGUGUCUCGAGUAAAGGAAAUGUACUUUGUGCAGCAGGUACAAAAUUAACACUUUGGGAAGUGUGAAAUUAAUGAAUGUGUUUAUGUGAACAGAGGGGACACAGAAUUGUGAAUCGUCCCUAGAAUCAGUUGUACUCAACAAUUUUCCAUGAUAUCAUAGUGUCGAUUCAGCAGAGUUAUGGACUUAGUAGUUUGGUCGGAUUGACCGUGAGUACAGAGAGAUUUGAUGAGUUAUAUGUUCAGCCGUACAGACCAUGAAGUGGAUUCGACUGACACAUGAGAAAUUGGUGAGUUAUAGGCUCGGCCGUACCGACCACGCGGAGUGGAUCCGGCCGACGUAUUAUUGAGAUAAGAGUUGAAUCAGCCGUAUUGGUCAUUCUAGUUGACUUCGGCUGAUAUAUUUCUUAUUAUGUAUGUUAUUACCUAGAGAGUAGUAAAUAAAUGUAGUUGAGACGAGUGUAUGUAUUUUGCAUUGAGUGACCAAAUAGUAUUGUUAUAUCUUUGAGAGUGGUUGCCUACUUAUCGAGACAACGAUGAUUUAUCAGUAUUGCGGGCUGCAGACCGUAAUAUUAAUAACUCAUUCGUGGAUUCGUUAAGCAAGCAACCCGGUAGAUUAUGUUAUGUUAGUAUUGUACUUAUUCAGAAUGCUUAGUAGUAAUAGAAUAUAUAUUGUGUCGGUUAAAUUAUUUCCAUUAGAUUGGUUGGUUAUAAUUGUGACUAGAUGGAUUGUUACGGGAAACCAGUCACUUUCCAUCGAUCUGGAUGAUCAGAGGUUACCUUAAUGAGUGGGCAUGCAAAGUGAAGUGAGUUCAGCCAUUAUUUAUGCUGUGAAAGCAAAGAGAUUGUUUUGAAAAGCUGCCCAAAAAUACUUAGUUCCUGUGGUGCUAAAUGAUGUUGUUUGGAGUAGUGUGAAUAAUGUAAAAAGGGGUUAGACUUUCUUGAUGUCUUCCUUGAAAGUAUACCUGGAUUUCCUUCAGGCAGAGAUAUGAGGUUCACUAUUGAUUUGUUGCCAGGUAUAAAUUUAUGUUAAAGAUUGGUUCAUGAUGAGUUAAGGGAAUUGGAAAUUCAGUUGAGAGAAUUGGUUGAUAAAAGUUUUAUUCAACCUAGUACAACACUUUUGAGGAGCCCCAGUUUGUUGGUGAGGAAGAAAAUGGAUCUUGAGACUGUUCAUUGAUUAUAGACAAUGGAGUCGGGUAACGAUUGAGAACCGUUAUCCAUGGUGAUGUACUGAUGAUUAUUUAACCAGCUCAGAAGUAAUUGCGAAGAUUCAAGGAUUGAAUUGAGAUCUGGUUACUACCAAUUGAAUAUUAUAAGUGACGUUGAUCAUAAGAUGGUUUUCUGGACUUGUUAUGGUCCUUAUGAAGUUUGGUGAUGCUAUGGAUACUCAUGCUGUUUUAUGAGUUAUUGGAUGAAGUAUUCCAAUAAUGCCUUGAUAAAUAGAUAUCAUUUUCAUUGAAGAUAUUCUGGUAUACUCUAAGCCUAGAGCAGAGCAUGUUAGAUAUUUUAAGUUGAUGUUACAAAGUUUGAGGGAACGUUGAUUGUAUGCUAAGUUUAGCAAAGGCUAAAGUUAGAUGAAUCAAGUGGCAUUUUGAGAUUGGUUAUAUCUGCUUAAGGUAUUCAAAUGAAUUCUUAAAAGGCAGCAGAAUUGAGAAAUUGGAACAACCACAAGCCAUAAUUGAGAUUCGGAAAUUCUUAACUUAUCAGGCUAUUUUGGAUGGUUGUGAAAGAAUUUUUAGUCAUUGCUUUGUCAUUGACGAGACUGUUGAGAAAAGAGGUUAUGUAUGAGUGGGAAGGAAAUUGUGAGCAAAGGAUUCAACAACUGAAGUAUUUCCUCACUCAUGCACGUAUUUUAGCAAUCCCAGAGAAUAGUGGUAAUCAUAAAUUUUUAGUGAUGUUUCUUGAAUAGGUAUUGGAUGCAUGUUGAUGCAAAUGUUAGGGUGAUUGCAUACGUUUCACGAUAAAUGGAACCUCAUGAGAUGAAUUACCCUACGGGUGACUUGGAAGUCAUGAUUACCAUUCUUGCUGUGAAGUUAUGAAGGCAUUAUAUUGGGUAAGAAUGCAAGAUUUUUACGAACCCAAAAAGUCUUCAAUAUCCAUUACUUGGAAGGAUUUUGAUAUGAGGCAGCGAAGGUGAAUUGUAUUGCUUAAUGAACAUGAUUGUACGACCAGGGUGAUCGUAAAAUUGUUCUAGCUGAUACACUUGGUGAAAAGAUUGCAGUAAGAUUAAUGUCUGGCACGUUUGCCAAGAGUAUCAUCUUGUGGAUUGAAAACCAACGGAAGAAAAGUUAAGAAUGAAAGAUCGAGAAGAAGUUAUACUUGUUAAAUUUCAAGUUAGGCAUUUUUGGUAAGGUUGUACUCGAGACUCAAAUGCUUGACGAAGAAAUUUAAGAAUUAACCAAGGCAGAGAAAGAAGGGAAAAAGAAUGAGUACAUGAUUCGUGAAUCAAAUGGUAUGUGGAUACAAGAAAACAAAAAGUAUGUGCCUAAUGCUAAGGAUUUAAAGUAAGCAAUUUUGGACGAAGUACACUGUUCAGCUUCUGCAAUAUUCCGAAAGUAAUAAGGUUUAUCAUACCAUUCGACAGUUUUAUUUGGUCAGCAGAUUGAGGCAGAAAGAGAUAAACCUUUGGAUUGAGAUAACUAUUUUCUGUUUCGCAGUGGAAAUGGAAAGAUAUUACUUUGGAUUAUGUGUACAAGUUUCCUUGUACAUAGGAUGGUUAUGAUCGAAUUUGAAGUGAUAGUUGGUCAAUGUACCAAGUUAGUACAAUUACUCCAGUGCUGAGUAAUAACUUUUUCCCAGACAGAGCAACGGUACUUAUUUGUUUUAUGGAAAGAGAAUUGGAUUACGGAACUGCUGAGUUUCUUAAGUAUGUUGGGUGCGCAGUUUCCGAAAUAACGCCAUAAGGUCCAUGAAAUGUGUCAUGUGUGUCGAUUUUUGCGGAUUUGUGGAUGGAAUGUUUCUGGGUAAAGAAAGAUUCCAUCAUGAAAGAGUUUUAGUAGACCCUGAGACUAUGGAUGAGUCUCCUCAAAGUAUUCAGGUGAUUAAGUUAACCUGAAGUAACCAGGAAUGGCAAAAGAGAUCAACAGAUGGAUAUGCCACUAAUCGAGUGUGUAAGGUAAAUGGUUUGAUAUUUUUGGAAUUUCACCAUGAACAGAAAUAGUAAGAUUCAGAAAGGAAGAUAAGAUAAGACUUAAACACAACGGUCCGUUUUGAUCACUAAGGGAAUCGACGAAGUUGCAUACAAGUUUGUGAUGCCUUCAGAAUUGGCUAAGGCACAUAAUGUAUUUUGGGUUCGAUACGUUGUCACUAGGUGGCAGAUUCGUCACAUGAGAUUCUGGUGCAACUACUGAGAAUUAAAUUGGAUUCGACUUGAUAAGGAACCAAGGACGACUUUGGAUUGGAAAAAGAAGGUUCUGAAAAGAAUGACAGUAUAAGUGGUAAAAGCUUUGUGAAGGAAUUAUUCAGUAGAAGAAAAUUGCGCGGGAGAAAGAGAAUCGGAUGAAAGAGACUUACUGAGUUUGGUAUGAGUAUUGAUGGGUUGAUUGGUGGCUGGAAUUUCGGGGACGAAAUUCUAUAAGGAGGGAAGAUUGUCACAGCCCGUCCCAGAAUUUUUUUCAUUUCCGAGGACAUGAAAUUACUAAAGUGCCCUUAAACGGGAUUAAGGUGCAUAAAUGUGACAUUAGUUUAACCUAAAGUUCUUAAACUAGUGUUAAUUUAAAAUAUUAACUAGUUUUAGGGUCUAAACUUAGACCAAGAAUUUCAUGAACAUGUUAAAGUUUGGUGUUUUGGGAUUGGAAAAAGGACCACGUGGGAUCCCCACAUCCCUCAAAACCUUCCUCAUUUCCCGUUCACUGUCUCUCUCUCUCCUCCCUCACGAAACUCUCAGUUCUCUCUCCCUCUCCUUCGAACUCACACGGACCACCACAAAACCACCCUAAAUCUAUACCAACGACGAAUCUAAGACCACCAUUGGAACCCUGAAGACUUCACGAUCGCGAUGGUAUCCAUUUCAGGUAAGUUUUGCUUCGGAAAACCCUAGUUUUAAAGUUGCCGUGAAUGUGUACUGUUCAUGAGCUUUGAAUUGGUUGUGUUUUAGGCCAAACCAAGCUCACAGUGAGCUUAAGGAAGUCCCAAGGAAGCUCGGAGUGCUUCGUUGGCAUGAAUUGGACGUCGGGAUCACCUAGUUCAAAGGUAGGCCGAUUUCUUGAAUUUUUGAAAGUUUGAUCCCGUUGUUUUUAGGCCUUAAAACUAGUCCAACGUGAGAGUAGAUGUUUAGGGCUUCAAUUUGGUGUAAAAUUCGAGAAAUUUGGAUGAAAAACGAAGGAGAAUAGUGGAUUUGAAAUAUUCCCCAGUUUCCGGUGACCGGAGUCCGGCGAGGGACGACCGGAGAAGAAGAAGGAAUAUUCCGUUAUUUUUAACGGCAUAUUCCUAACGGCAGUAACGGUAUCCGGUUAAGUUAACGGAAUAUUCCGGGAUUUUAACGAAAUAUUCCUGACGGCGUCAAUUGACACCGUCAGUGUGCUUGGCACGUGGCCGCGCGUGGGGGGCGCGUAGGUCCGUGCCACGUCAGGCGCGUGUGGGCGCGUGAGACCUCAAAAAAUUAUUUUAAAAAUAUGGGGAUGAUCCUGAGGUUGUGUAGGUCACUGUGGUAUAUUCAUAUACCCAAUUUGAGCAAUAUAUGAGGAGUUAUUAGCUAAGAAUUAGGUUAUGCGUUAAAUAACGUUAAUUCGGUUAUUUCUCGUAUAGGCGAGGCUUGUACGAACGUUGGGCAUGGCCAAGGGAUGCUCAGGGACUUACGAGACGUCGAUGUAAUCUGUGAGUGGGCAGUUUUGUUUUCCGUAUACAUAUAUACUUGCCGUUUUCCCAGGAAUUGAAAAUGCAUGAAACUAUGCUUUUAAUGAAAAUGUAUAAAAGUAUAUGAGAUAUAUUAGUUGAAAUGCCAUGCAUAGAAGUAUGCGAAAAGUAUAUAGAAUUAUAUGAAAAAUGUGAAUCGAAUUGCCAUGCAUGAAAUGAUAUGAAAAGUAUGAAUUGAGAUAUGAUGCAUAUGUAUGAAUUGGUGCGGCGGACGCACAGGUGAGUAU
RNAcentral lists this long non-coding RNA (7026 nucleotides) under Malus domestica (apple). RNAcentral's name for it is "long non-coding RNA (MDOM_LNC000824)". The record is from RNAcentral. Lineage: Eukaryota; Viridiplantae; Streptophyta; Magnoliopsida; Rosales; Rosaceae.